AUUGAACGCUGGCGGCAGGCUUAACACAUGCAAGUCGAGCGGGGUGAUGGUGCUUGCACUAUCACUUAGCGGCGGACGGGUGAGUAAUGCUUAGGAAUCUGCCUAUUAGUGGGGGACAACAUCUCGAAAGGGAUGCUAAUACCGCAUACGUCCUACGGGAGAAAGCAGGGGAUCACUUGUGACCUUGCGCUAAUAGAUGAGCCUAAGUCGGAUCAGCUAGUUGGUGGGGUAAAGGCCUACCAAGGCGACGAUCUGUAGCGGGUCUGAGAGGAUGAUCCGCCACACUGGGACUGAGACGCGGCCCAGACUCCUACGGGAGGCAGCAGUGGGGAAUAUUGGACAAUGGGGGGAACCCUGAUCCAGCCAUGCCGCGUGUGUGAAGAAGGCCUUAUGGUUGUAAAGCACUUUAAGCGAGGAGGGGGCUCUUUUGGUUAAUACCCAAGAUGAGUGGACGUUACUCGCAGAAUAAGCACCGGCUAACUCUGUGCCAGCCGCCGCGGUAA
RNAcentral lists this ribosomal RNA (503 nucleotides) under uncultured bacterium. Its description in RNAcentral is "partial 16S ribosomal RNA". It matches the Rfam family "Bacterial small subunit ribosomal RNA", at positions 30 to 523 of the family's 1533-position model. The record is from RNAcentral.